Long non-coding RNA from Macadamia integrifolia, 371 nucleotides. RefSeq lists it as uncharacterized. The record is from RefSeq and is a predicted model, not a curated record. The transcript is spliced from 2 exons. Lineage: Eukaryota; Viridiplantae; Streptophyta; Magnoliopsida; Proteales; Proteaceae.
AUCCUCCACAACCCUUGAGUAUAACUAAAGAUUUUGGUGGAACUCAUAGUGGAAAUUGUAUAUGGUUUCAUGAUGGCAAAGCUCUCUCCUACCUUCUACCUUCUCCUUGCCCUCUUCCUUGACACCUCAGUUGGAAAGAUGGUGACUCAAGCUGAAGCAAAACUUUGCCUUCAGAACUUGGGGUACUGCGACAGCCUGGAUUCUUGCAAAUUUCGAUGUACAACAAAAUAUCCAAGCGGGGAGGGAUACUGUAGAAUUGAUUAUUAUCCUUUAAAUUUCUGCUGGUGUCAAUUUCAAUGUUGAAUGAAUCUCUGCUUAUACAUAUAUGAAUAAAAGGGCUUUGUGCCUGAGCGUCACUAGAUUUUACCUAA